UACGUAGGUGGCAAGCGUUGUCCGGAAUUAUUGGGCGUAAAGCGUGCGCAGGUGGUUUCUUAAGUCUGAUGUGAAAGCCCACGGCUCAACCGUGGAGGGUCAUUGGAAACUGGGGAACUUGAGUGCAGAAGAGGAAAGUGGAAUUCCACGUGUAGCGGUGAAAUGCGUAGAGAUGUGGAGGAACACCAGUGGCGAAGGCGACUUUCUGGUCUGUAACUGACACUGAGGCGCGAAAGCGUGGGGAGCAAACAGG
RNAcentral lists this ribosomal RNA (253 nucleotides) under uncultured bacterium. RNAcentral describes it as "partial 16S ribosomal RNA". It matches the Rfam family "Bacterial small subunit ribosomal RNA", at positions 524 to 776 of the family's 1533-position model. The record is from RNAcentral.